RNAcentral lists this ribosomal RNA (113 nucleotides) under Candidatus Yanofskyibacteriota bacterium. The record is from RNAcentral. Lineage: Bacteria; Candidatus Yanofskyibacteriota.
ACUGGUGACUAUACUAGUGUUGCUCCACCUGAUCCCAUUCCGAACUCAGAAGUGAAAUACACUAAGGCCCAUGAUAGUCGGCACAAGCCGGCGAAAGUAGGUAGUCGCCAAUU